This 253-nucleotide ribosomal RNA is filed under the name uncultured bacterium. RNAcentral's name for it is "partial 16S ribosomal RNA". It matches the Rfam family "Bacterial small subunit ribosomal RNA", at positions 524 to 776 of the family's 1533-position model. The record is from RNAcentral.
GACGGAGGAUGCAAGCGUUAUCCGGAAUGAUUGGGCGUAAAGCGUCCGCAGGUGGCAGUUCAAGUCUGCUGUCAAAGACCGGGGCUUAACUUCGGAAAGGCAGUGGAAACUGAACAGCUAGAGUAUGGUAGGGGCAGAGGGAAUUCCUGGUGUAGCGGUGAAAUGCGUAGAGAUCAGGAAGAACAUCGGUGGCGAAGGCGGUGCUCUGGGCCAGUAUUGACGCUGAGGAGCGAAAGCGUGGGGAGCAAACAGG